RNAcentral lists this transfer RNA (85 nucleotides) under Sulfurospirillum barnesii SES-3. RNAcentral's name for it is "tRNA-Leu (GAG) (tRNA-Leu-GAG-1-1)". It matches the Rfam family "tRNA". From Rfam's summary of the family: Transfer RNA (tRNA) molecules are approximately 80 nucleotides in length. Lineage: Bacteria; Pseudomonadati; Campylobacterota; Epsilonproteobacteria; Campylobacterales; Sulfurospirillaceae. The record is from RNAcentral.
GCGGACGUGGUGGAAUGGUAGACACACUACCUUGAGGUGGUAGCGCACUACGUGUGUGGGGGUUCAAAUCCCCCCGUCCGCACCA